AGCAGCCGCGGUAAUUCCAGCUCCAAUAGCGUAUAUUAAAGUUGCUGCAGUUAAAAAGCUCGUAGUUGAAUUUCGGGACUAAUAUGUCGGUCGUGCCUCGGUACGUACUGGUAUUUUUGGUUUCUCCCUUCUGACGAACCUUGAUGUCAUUAAUUUGGUGGCUUGGGAAAUCAGGACUGUUACUUUGAAAAAAUUAGAGUGUUUAAAGCAGGCUCACGCUUGAAUACAUUAGCAUGGAAUAAUGAAAUAGGACGUUUGAUUCUAUUUUGUUGGUUCUAGGAUCGACGUAAUGAUUAAUAGGGAUAGUUGGGGGCAUUAGUAUUCAAUUGUCAGAGGUGAAAUUCUUGGAUUUAUUGAAGACUAACUACUGCGAAAGCAUUUUGCCAAGGAUGUUUUCAUUAAUCAAGAACGAAGUUAGGGGAUCGAAGACGAUCAGAUACCGUCGUAGUCUUAACCAUAAACUAUGCCGAACUAGGGAUCGGAUGAUGUUAAUUUUUAAUGACUCAUUCGGCGCCUUACGGGAAACC
RNAcentral lists this ribosomal RNA (527 nucleotides) under uncultured Glomus. RNAcentral describes it as "SSU rRNA". It matches the Rfam family "Eukaryotic small subunit ribosomal RNA", at positions 569 to 1099 of the family's 1831-position model. The record is from RNAcentral. Lineage: Eukaryota; Fungi; Glomeromycota; Glomeromycetes; Glomerales; Glomeraceae.